RNAcentral lists this small nuclear RNA (169 nucleotides) under Salvator merianae (Argentine black and white tegu). RNAcentral's name for it is "U1 spliceosomal RNA (ENSSMRG00000014587.1)". It matches the Rfam family "U1 spliceosomal RNA". From Rfam's summary of the family: U1 is a small nuclear RNA (snRNA) component of the spliceosome (involved in pre-mRNA splicing). Its 5' end forms complementary base pairs with the 5' splice junction, thus defining the 5' donor site of an intron. The record is from RNAcentral. Lineage: Eukaryota; Metazoa; Chordata; Lepidosauria; Squamata; Teiidae.
UGGAGCACCUGGCAGAGGAGACACCAUGAUCAGAUCAGGAAGAUGAUUUUCUCAGGAUGAGGUUCAUCCAUUGCUUUCCAGGCUUGCUAACCCUUGCGAUGUUCCCAAAUGAAGGAAACUCAACUACAUAAUUUGUUGUAGUAGAUGACUGGGUUCAUGCUUUCCCCUG